Rhipicephalus sanguineus (brown dog tick) is the source of this 315-nucleotide long non-coding RNA. RefSeq lists it as uncharacterized. The transcript is spliced from 3 exons. NCBI's taxonomy places the organism in Eukaryota, Metazoa, Arthropoda, Arachnida, Ixodida, Ixodidae. The record is from RefSeq and is a predicted model, not a curated record.
CAACAAGAACAGUAGAAGAGUUUCUGAACUCCGGUCGCCUCGGCAGUGGGCCAUUGGCCAGCAAAGUUGCGUGUUCCUAAACCCAUAGUUCAUACCGUGUCGUCUGGCAUGGACGUAGACCACUGUUGGGUACUGUGUCGCGUACAGCAAGAACCCUGUCCGCCCCGGCAGUGGGCCAUUGGCCAGCAAAGGCACACAGCGAUCGGACUGAGCAUAUCAAGUAGCCCCUCCUGUGACCCACAAGACCACACUCAUUCGGCCGAGGAGCCUGUCUGGACUUACGUUGAGAGUCCUGGCAGACAGUUUGUUUUUUCU